This 583-nucleotide ribosomal RNA is filed under the name Salmonella enterica subsp. enterica serovar Kentucky. RNAcentral's name for it is "bacterial SSU rRNA". It matches the Rfam family "Bacterial small subunit ribosomal RNA", at positions 1 to 573 of the family's 1533-position model. Lineage: Bacteria; Pseudomonadati; Pseudomonadota; Gammaproteobacteria; Enterobacterales; Enterobacteriaceae. The record is from RNAcentral.
AAAUUGAAGAGUUUGAUCAUGGCUCAGAUUGAACGCUGGCGGCAGGCCUAACACAUGCAAGUCGAACGGUAACAGGAAGCAGCUUGCUGCUUUGCUGACGAGUGGCGGACGGGUGAGUAAUGUCUGGGAAACUGCCUGAUGGAGGGGGAUAACUACUGGAAACGGUGGCUAAUACCGCAUAACGUCGCAAGACCAAAGAGGGGGACCUUCGGGCCUCUUGCCAUCGGAUGUGCCCAGAUGGGAUUAGCUGGUUGGUGAGGUAACGGCUCACCAAGGCGACGAUCCCUAGCUGGUCUGAGAGGAUGACCAGCCACACUGGAACUGAGACACGGUCCAGACUCCUACGGGAGGCAGCAGUGGGGAAUAUUGCACAAUGGGCGCAAGCCUGAUGCAGCCAUGCCGCGUGUAUGAAGAAGGCCUUCGGGUUGUAAAGUACUUUCAGCGGGGAGGAAGGUGUUGUGGUUAAUAACCGCAGCAAUUGACGUUACCCGCAGAAGAAGCACCGGCUAACUCCGUGCCAGCAGCCGCGGUAAUACGGAGGGUGCAAGCGUUAAUCGGAAUUACUGGGCGUAAAGCGCACGCA